Molecule: small RNA, 27 nt
Filed under: Bombyx mori (domestic silkworm)
Lineage: Eukaryota; Metazoa; Arthropoda; Insecta; Lepidoptera; Bombycidae
Description: ovarian small RNA-29136
Source: RNAcentral
UCGUAGGAGAUGGUGCGAUAACCACGA